This 488-nucleotide ribosomal RNA is filed under the name uncultured bacterium. RNAcentral describes it as "partial 16S ribosomal RNA". It matches the Rfam family "Bacterial small subunit ribosomal RNA", at positions 28 to 507 of the family's 1533-position model. The record is from RNAcentral.
GACGAACGCUGGCGGCGUGCUUAACACAUGCAAGUCGAACGAAAAUACCAAGCUUGCUUGGUUGAUUAGUGGCGAACGGGUGAGUAACACGUGAGUAACCUGCCCCUUACUUUCCUGGAUAACUGCUCGAAAGGGUAGCUAAUACGGGAUAUUCUGACCAGCCUGCAUGGGUUGGUUUGGAAAGGUUGUUUUUCUGGUAAGGGAUGGGCUCGCGGCCUAUCAGCUUGUUGGUGGGGUGAUGGCCUACCAAGGCUUUGACGGGUAGCCGGCCUGAGAGGGUGGACGGUCACACUGGGACUGAGAUACGGCCCAGACUCCUACGGGAGGCAGCAGUGGGGAAUAUUGCACAAUGGGCGCAAGCCUGAUGCAGCGACGCCGCGUGAGGGAUGAAGGCCUUCGGGUUGUAAACCCCUUUCGUCAGGGAACAAGGCACUGCUUUUUUGGUGGUGUUGAGGGUACCUGGAGAAGAAGCGCCGGCUAACUACGUG